CAAAUUCCCAAAGUGCCUUCCCAACCCGCUGACACUGCAGUAAAGGGAUGAGGUGCAGAGAGAGCCACGGGGUGCAGUGAAGGGAUGAGGUGCAGAGAGAGCCACGGGGUGCAGUAAAGGGAUGAGGUGCAGAGAGAGCCACGGGGUGCAGUGAAGGGAUGAGGUGCAGAGAGAGCCACGGGGUGCAGUGAAGGGAUGAGGUGCAGAGAGAGCCACGGGGUGCAGUGAAGGGAUGAGGUGCAGAGAGAGCCACGGGGUGCAGUAAAGGGAUGAGGUACAGAGAGAGCCCCGGGGUGCAGUAAAGGGAUGAGGUACAGAGAGAGCCCUGGGGUGCAGUGAAGGGAUGAGGUACAGAGAGAGCCCCGGGGUGCAGUGAAGGGAUGAGGUACAGAGAGAGCCCCGGGGUGCAGUGAAGGGAUGAGGUACAGAGAGAGCCCCGGGGUACAGUGAAGGGAUGAGGUAUGAGGAUGGCAGACUGUCAAUAGCAGUGUCAAACUCUCUUAUAGGGGAG
Oncorhynchus tshawytscha (Chinook salmon) is the source of this 511-nucleotide long non-coding RNA. The record is from Ensembl. Lineage: Eukaryota; Metazoa; Chordata; Actinopteri; Salmoniformes; Salmonidae.